RNAcentral lists this ribosomal RNA (466 nucleotides) under Starmerella bombicola. Its description in RNAcentral is "partial large subunit ribosomal RNA". It matches the Rfam family "Eukaryotic large subunit ribosomal RNA", at positions 87 to 658 of the family's 3401-position model. Lineage: Eukaryota; Fungi; Ascomycota; Dipodascomycetes; Dipodascales; Trichomonascaceae. The record is from RNAcentral.
CGGCGAGUGACAGGCAAGAGCUCAGAUUUGAAAGCCUCUCGGGGCAUUGUAUUCUGAAGCCUUGAUUCUGAGAAACGGUACCUAAGUCUUCUGGAAAGGAGCGCCAAGGAGGGUGAUAGCCCCGUACGGUACUGACCUCAUUGUAGAAUCUUGGCGUGGAGUCGAGUUGUUUGGGAAUGCAGCUCAAAUGGGUGGUAUGCUCCAUCUAAAGCUAAAUAUCUGCGAGAGACCGAUAGCGAACAAGUACUGUGAAGGAAAGAUGAAAAGAACUUUGAAAAGAGAGUGAAAAAGUACGUGAAAUUGUUGAAAUGGAAGGAUAGGCCGCUAACCACGUAGAGCCGUGUCUGAGGGGAGGAUAAAAGCUGUAGAAUGUGACUCUUCGGAGUGUUAUAGCUGCAGUGCAUACUCCCACUCGGGCGCGAGGACCUAAGGCUCUGCUAAAUGGUGGUCUAUCACCCGUCUUGAA